Molecule: long non-coding RNA, 564 nt
Filed under: Daucus carota (carrot)
Lineage: Eukaryota; Viridiplantae; Streptophyta; Magnoliopsida; Apiales; Apiaceae
Description: long non-coding RNA (DCAR_LNC002660)
Source: RNAcentral
CGAUCUUGCUCUGCGAAUAUAAGAUUUAAGAAAAUUAUUGCCGAAUUGUUGAAUUUAAUCAAAUCAAGAAGUAUAUAACGGUUAACUAUUAUUGUCAAAAGUAAGGCAUGAUACAUUAAAUCGGUGUAGUACCAACCUCAGCAAAACUGGAAGUACUCAAGCCUUCCCUCAUCACAUCGGAUGACUUGUCUGCUCCAAAUGAAUUAGAAGCUUGAAAUGCAUCAUUAACAUAGAAUAUCUUACUCUUAGCUACGACAUUCUCCUCUUUGACCUCAAUAUCAAAGGUGUACUCCUUCCCGAUCAUUUCUUUAAUCUUUGCCGGGUAUCCAGAAGCUGAAGCGGUCUACGGAUUCAACAAAGUUAGGCUAUUCAAUGUAUAAAUCACUAUUGAAAUAUGAGAUCAUGCAUCACCUGAUAUUCAGAUUUAAGAGUGCAAUGGACGGACCUGCAGAUUAUCAGAAAUGAGCUUGGUUGCUGUUUGGCCAACAAUUCUUCUAGCAGCCCUGUCUAGAAGAACGAAAUUCAAUGCUUCUGUUUCAUCCCCAGCAAGAACCACAAUUUUGU